GAAUUUUGCUUGAAUGAAAAAUUCUGUAUGUCAGAUGCUAUCAUGUGUACCCAUCCAUUUAAAAUCCAAUUUAAUGAAGUUGUCGUCCAUAUGUAUACUUACUAUUUGAAUUACCUGUGCAGGGCUAUAUAUCCCUAAUAAAUUUUGACAUCUAAAAAUGGAUUUUUUGAUUACUUUAAGACAUUUCAAAAUAAAAUAAAAAUUUUGUAGCCUGUUUCCUUUUCAUACCACUAAAACAAAUGUGAAUUAUUUUACAAGGAGAGGGGAAAAAAGUGGGUCAAGUAGCAAUAGGCACCUCUCGUACUUAGAAAAGGAUUCCAGACACCCUGAUUUUUGACAGACUGUACUUGUUGUCUAGGACUUGGUUAUUCUUGACACCAAAUGUUUUCUCUACAAGCACUUACAGGCAAUGGAUUUGAAAGUGCAUUGUCUCAAGUGGAAAUUCUUUCAAGAGCAGUAUUUCAAAGAUCUCUGUACAGCUUUGCAAAUGGCCAUAUUAACAGUUUAGCUUAUAAGGAGUAUAGUAAUUUAUAAGCCAUUGACAUCAUCUCACCAUUUUUCUAAAGCUAAAUAUGAGCCAAACUCUUAUGGAAACCAAUAAUAAUUUUCUGCUUCACUGAAAAAAAGCUGUAGUACAAUCAUCUGCUGGAAUCAAUACAUUUUGAAAAAUCAUAACUAAUUUUUUAAAGAAUCUGUUUGAAAACAUUUUAUUCCUGUACUAAUAUCUACUAAAUACAGACAUGACAUUUAUGAGCUAGACCCACAAUUUCACAACCCUGGUACCAGGCUACUAUUAUUUGUCAAUCUGAUGUAUGCAUGCCCUGAAAACUUACAGAAUCCAAGAGCCACUCCAGAGUGACAGUCCAUGUUUAUGUAGAUUUGGGUAUAAAAGGAAUAGAUUCAUUUUAUUUUCAAAGACAGGGGGUUCUAUUUUUCUGUCAAGUGAAUGAGUCCCUUACAUUUAGUUAAAAUAUGUGGUUUCACUGGAAACUUCCAAAGAACUGGAGAGAACCAAGUUGUCGAAAUGUAGCGUUGAUAGAGGGUAUUCCUGCUCAGCAUUAAGAGAAGAGAGGGAUAGGGAAAACAUGGCAGGAAAAGUGCUCCAUACAUUUGAAACUUUAAUAUUUCCCUUCUCUCCACAACCUUCCACAACACAGUUGCUUCUUCUUGCCUUUGUUUGUAUCGUCUUUACAACAUUUAUGCUACAGUAAGUGCACAGUCUACCCUUUUGUCCUUUUUGCCUGUCAAAAGGGUCCCAUGAAUGUUCUUUGGCUCUAAGGACAGCCUAUGAGAUUCAAGAACUUAACGAACAUGAUCAGAAGGAUCCCUGAUAUUCAGAAAUGCUGGCUAUAAAGCAAAAGGGCACGAAACUUUGCUUUUAGUAAUAAUAAUAACUAUUAUUUGCUUAGAGCUCCUUAGGGUCUGUGUGCUAAGAUUCUCUUUGAAAUCUCACAACAAUAUAAGAGAUAGAAACUAUUCAUACUUUCAUUCAUUCAAAUAAAUGAAGUCAAGUACCCCUGACUCAACAGCAUCACACUACAUGCAGAGCGUACUAUGAUCACCCAAAGAUACAUGACCACUGCCCUUACUGCCUGUAGAGCAAAACAGUGUCACAUAUGAGGCAGUAGAGUUAACUUUAUAUCCUCCCAACUACUUGGAUGUAUAGACUUAACCAUGUCUCCCAUUAUAACAUACACAAAGCCUUUUUAGCUAAAUAAUUGAUCAGAUGUUGAGGCUUCAAGCCAAAGACCCUUAUUCAAAGCCCUCCACUGGGCAGGUGUGAAUUUGUUCCUCAUGGUAAACUUGGGGAAAUCAUUUAUUCUCGCAGAGACCCAAUUUCCCAAUUCUAAAAUGACCUAGUAUGAUUAGGUGAUCUUUGAUUCCCUUUCAGCUAUAGAAUUUUAGAUUUCUUGAUGGAAAUUAUUUAUACAUAGCAGAUGGGCUCAGCAAGAUUUUUAGUUUAAGAAACCUAUGAAAUAUGACAUGUCCAUUUACAACUAAGGAUAUGGAUAAAGCAGAGUAGUUUACAGGGCAAUGGGGUCAGUGAAAAAAGGAACUCAUUCUGUAACAUGAUUUUCUUUCACAAUUCAGUCCUGUCCUUAAUAUUGAGCAUGCACUUUGAAGACCAUUGCCUGCUACUGUCUCAGGUGGUGAGACUCCUCUACUAUAUUAAAGGUAGAGAAAGAGAGAGGGAGAAUUAAGAAAGAGAGCGGUAGAGGGUGUGAUGAAAUAGAGGUGGGCCAAGGGACCCAUUUAUUGAACUAUAAAACAAACAGAGGAAUGCAGGAGUUUAGAGAACGGAUAAAGGGAGAAGUGACACUGAAGAAAGUGUCACCAACAUAAAAAAAACUUCUUCCUUAAUCUUUUAUGAAGGCUUUCUGGGCUGAAGGGUAUUUGGGAGAUUAGUAAGUAUUAUGGAAAAGCAUAAACUUUGAAUUCAAAUAGACCUAGGUUUAGAACCAAGCUAUUUGAACUUGAAGCUGUGUCUUAACAGAGCCUCCAUUUCUUAUUUAGAAAAUAGGAAUGAAAAUAUACAUUUGAAGUCUAAAUAUUUAACAUAUAAAAAGAUGAUGAUGUUCAGAGGCAUUCAUAAACUACAUUUCUAGCUGAUGUCUUUAGCUUAAAAAGUACAAAUUUGGUGAGAUUAAGUAAUCUUCCCCAAAUCUCAGGCUAGUUUGUGAUAGAGUCAACCACCGGAAGAAAAAGAAAUUCUUCCCCACUCCACACUGCCCCACUUCUUCCUAUUUCCACCCAUAUUGAAACCGUGCUCCCACUGCAGAAUACCAAGAACAUUAAAAGGACUAAUCUAAACCUGUACAGAUACGUAUUUUCUAAAUAAUGUGAUUAUUCAAAUUUUUAUGCACUACUAUUGUUAUCUUGCAUACUUGCAUUUCUUUCCCUGAUAUCUGUUUUGUAUUCUUCAUCAAGAGUGAAAAAACACAUGUAGGAUCAAAUAACAUAUAAUUUAACUUACUAUAUAUUUGCACCGCCAUUUCUUGGAUGUACUUUAUGACAUUACUAGGGGUCAAUUACUUUAAUCAAACUCCUUUAUGAACCUGAUUAUAUCCACGAAUACCAAGUCUUUUCUCACACAAUAACUCCAUUAUUAAAGAAUAUAGUCCUAUAACACACUGCUUAGAAACCUCAGCCAAACCCAACGACCAUGUGAUAGAGCAGUCUCAUGGAUUUGUUCGUUAAGACCAACCCUGACAAAAAGAUUUUUCUUUCUGCAUCUGAAUUUACUACUGUAGCUCCUCUGUACCACAGCCUACCCCCUCCAACAAACACAGGAGCUACCAGAAAUAAAUGCCAUUAACUCCCAACCUCCAAUCUGACAAACAACUACAUCUACCCUUUCUUCAUCAUCAGAUUAACAUUGCGUCUUGAUGUAACGUGGAUCCUUUCACCCAUGAUAUCAUAACCCUCUGUUGUCUCAGGCUAAUGACUUGGCCAUUUAUAGCUUCUAUCUCCAGUAGGGUCAACAUCUUUUCCACUGUCUCCUUCAUGUUAGCCUUCAUGCACAGCCUCCUGCUGUCUUGGAAAAUCUCUCUCCACCCCCCAUGCUGCUACCUCCACAUACUGCCUUAUCUCUUUCCUUUCCUUGAGGGACAAAUACCUUAAAAUAUUUUAAAAUAAAUUUUAUUGUGGUAUAAGUAACUUACAAUGUUGUAUUAAUAUCAGGUGUACAGCAAAUUCAAUCAGCCAUAAAUAUACAUAUGUAUCCAUUAUUUUUCAGAUUCUUUCCUCAUAUAGGUUAUCACAGAGUAGUGAAUAGAUUUCCCCAAGCUAUAAAGUAGUUCCUUGUUACUGGUCCAUGUUGCAUAUAAUAGUGUCUAUAUGCCAAUCCCAAUCUUCCAAUCCGCCCCUCCCCUCAGUGUUUCCCCUUUGGUAGCCAUAAGUUUGGUUUCAAAAUCUUUGACUCAGUUUCUGUUUUGUGGAUACUCCCUUUUGUAUCAUUUUUAUUAGAUUCCUCAUAUUAGUGAUCUCAUACGAUGUUUGUCUUUCUCUGUCUGCCUUACUUCACUUAGUAUGAUAAUCUCUGGGUCCAUCAUGUUGCUGCAAAUGGCAUUAUUUCACUCUUUUUUUUAAUCACCAAGUCCACUGUAUAUGUGUACUAGAUCUUCAUCUGAUCCUCUGUUGAUGGACAUUUAGGUUGCUUCCAUGUCUUGGCUAUUUCUAUUUCAUUUUAUUUCUAUUUUCACUUUUAUUUAAUAUUUGCUCUCAAUUCAUUUCAUUCUUACUUCUCCCUUCACCAAUUUAUAAAACAUUAGCCUAUGUCUUCCUUUUACUAAAUCUAUUAGAGUCUUUUCAGUCCUUACGUGACCUAACUGCAGAAUUUGUCACUAAUUUUUACUUCCACUGUCUUAAAACAGUCUCCUUUCUACUACUUUUAGGACAUCAUAGUCUACAAUUGCUAUAGCUGUUAUUCGGAAUAAUAUCAGUAGUAAUAGCAGUGGCAUUUGAUGACUUCCAAACCUCUCUCUCUCUGGCCCAAAUACUUCUUUUGAGCAGGCACCUGGAACUUGGUUUCCACAUCUACAUUUAAAUGAAUCUGGUCCAGAAGUUUACACAUCUUCUCUUCCACACUACCACUCUCCUCCUCUUAUGCCUCUUAGUUCAAUGAAUGGUAUCACAGUCCACCCCUUUGUGCAAAUGUAAGUGAUCACUCUUUUCACUUCACUUUCCACAUCCAGUUAAUCAAAUUCCAUGGACUAUAUUUCCUAUUUACAUUUGAAAUUUACUUUAUUUCUUUCCAUACUCAACACCACCCUUCCAGGUCAAUGCACUAUCAUCAUGACAUAUUCAAUAGUACCUUAAUUGGACUCUGUACUCUCAGUCUUACCCCUUCUAAAACAUACAUUUGACUGUGUCACUCCUCUACUUAAAAUAAUCAAUGCCCAUAGGCUCAAGUCCAAACUCCACUACAUGUUCAUCUCCCCAUAACUUCUUAGCCUGCUGUUUCCCUUUCAUUCUUUUGAUCUUAUUUAGAUGUCACAUUCCAAAGUCUGAAUCAGAGUUCCUUCAUGGCUCAGUGGUAACAAACCUGACUAGUAUCCAUGAGGAUGCAGGUUUGAUCCCUGGCCUCACUCAGUGAGUUAAGGAUCUGGUGUUGCCACAAGCUGUGGUGUAGGUUGCAGACAUGGCUUGGAUCCUGAGUUGCUGUGGCUGUGGCUAUGGCCAGCAGCUACAGCUCCAAUUUGACCCCUAGCCUGGGAACCUCCAUGUGC
RNAcentral lists this long non-coding RNA (5228 nucleotides) under Sus scrofa (pig). RNAcentral describes it as "lncRNA (ENSSSCG00035047662.1)". Lineage: Eukaryota; Metazoa; Chordata; Mammalia; Artiodactyla; Suidae. The record is from RNAcentral.